GUGAACCUGCGGCAGGAUCAUUA
RNAcentral lists this ribosomal RNA (23 nucleotides) under Tricholoma terreum. RNAcentral's name for it is "partial 18S ribosomal RNA". The record is from RNAcentral. Lineage: Eukaryota; Fungi; Basidiomycota; Agaricomycetes; Agaricales; Tricholomataceae.